AUGAUGGAGCAGCUCCUGGACGCUGCAAAGAACAUACAUGGAGCCGGCGUCAUCCACCGGGACUUCAAGCCGGAGAACGUCAUGGUCGGCUUCUUCGGCGGGCUCAAGGUUGGUGACUUUGGGUCGGCGAUGCGGGCGAAGCCGGCCGGAGUGCCCUAUGAGGAGUGCUGUGUCGGCACCCUGAUCUACACCUCACCGGAGCAGCUGGAAGGCAACCGGUACUACGGCCAGGCCGUGGACAUGUGGGCGCUUGGGUGCAUCAUGGCGGAGAUGUUGGCCGGCGCGACCCUCUUCGUGGCGGACACAGAGGAGGAGCUGCUCGCCGAGAUUUACAAGUUGCGAGAUCAGAUCACUUCUACGGGGAAGCUCGACCUGGAGUUCUUCGAGGAGCUUUCGGAAGCCGGGCGUGACGUCCUCACCGGCCUGCUUGCCUUCAACCCCGCCGAGAGGAUCACGGCGGCGGAAGCGCUCGAGCACCGGUGGUUCAGCAAGCCCAAAGGAGCAGAGCACCCUGGCUUUGUGUCGCUGAAGAGUUAA
This 537-nucleotide ribosomal RNA is filed under the name Triticum aestivum (bread wheat). Its description in RNAcentral is "partial small subunit ribosomal RNA". The record is from RNAcentral. Lineage: Eukaryota; Viridiplantae; Streptophyta; Magnoliopsida; Poales; Poaceae.